AGAGUUUGAUCCUGGUCUCAGAUUGAACGCUGGCGGCAUGCCUUACACAUGCAAGUCGAACGGCAGCACGGGGGCAACCCUGGUGGCGAGUGGCGAACGGGUGAGUAAUACAUCGGAACGUGUCCUGUAGUGGGGGAUAGCCCGGCGAAAGCCGGAUUAAUACCGCAUACGACCUAAGGGAGAAAGCGGGGGAUCUUCGGACCUCGUCGCUAUAGGGGCGGCCGAUGGCAGAUUAGCUAGUUGGUGGGGUAAAGGCCUACCAAGGCGACGAUCUGUAGCUGGUCUGAGAGGACGACCAGCCACACUGGGACUGAGACACGGCCCAGACUCCUACGGGAGGCAGCAGUGGGGAAUUUUGGACAAUGGGGGAAACCCUGAUCCAGCAAUGCCGCGUGUGUGAAGAAGGCCUUCGGGUUGUAAAGCACUUUUGUCCGGAAAGAAAACCUCUUGGAAUAAUACCUGAGGGGGAUGACGGUACCGGAAGAAUAAGCACCGGCUAACUACGUGCCAGCAGCCGCGGUAAUACGUAGGGUGCGAGCGUUAAUCGGAAUUACUGGGCGUAAAGCGUGCGCAGGCGGUUUGUUAAGACAGAUGUGAAAUCCCCGGGCUUAACCUGGGAACUGCAUUUGUGACUGGCAAGCUAGAGUAUGGCAGAGGGGGGUAGAAUUCCACGUGUAGCAGUGAAAUGCGUAGAGAUGUGGAGGAAUACCGAUGGCGAAGGCAGCCCCCUGGGCCAAUACUGACGCUCAUGCACGAAAGCGUGGGGAGCAAACAGGAUUAGAUACCCUGGUAGUCCACGCCCUAAACGAUGUCAACUAGUUGUUGGGGAUUCAUUUCCUUAGUAACGUAGCUAACGCGUGAAGUUGACCGCCUGGGGAGUACGGUCGCAAGAUUAAAACUCAAAGGAAUUGACGGGGACCCGCACAAGCGGUGGAUGAUGUGGAUUAAUUCGAUGCAACGCGAAAAACCUUACCUACCCUUGACAUGGUCGGAACCCUGCUGAAAGGUGGGGGUGCUCGAAAGAGAACCGGCGCACAGGUGCUGCAUGGCUGUCGUCAGCCCGUGUCGUGAGAUGUUGGGUUAAGUCCCGCAACGAGCGCAACCCUUGUCCUUAGUUGCUACGCAAGAGCACUCUAAGGAGACUGCCGGUGACAAACCGGAGGAAGGUGGGGAUGACGUCAAGUCCUCAUGGCCCUUAUGGGUAGGGCUUCACACGUCAUACAAUGGUCGGAACAGAGGGUCGCUAAGCCGCGAGGUGGAGCCAAUCCCAGAAAACCGAUCGUAGUCCGGAUCGCAGUCUGCAACUCGACUGCGUGAAGCUGGAAUCGCUAGUAAUCGCGGAUCAGCAUGCCGCGGUGAAUACGUUCCCGGGCCUUGUACACACC
RNAcentral lists this ribosomal RNA (1385 nucleotides) under Caballeronia humi. Its description in RNAcentral is "bacterial SSU rRNA". It matches the Rfam family "Bacterial small subunit ribosomal RNA". The record is from RNAcentral. Lineage: Bacteria; Pseudomonadati; Pseudomonadota; Betaproteobacteria; Burkholderiales; Burkholderiaceae.